RNAcentral lists this small nuclear RNA (107 nucleotides) under Dasypus novemcinctus (nine-banded armadillo). Lineage: Eukaryota; Metazoa; Chordata; Mammalia; Cingulata; Dasypodidae. The record is from RNAcentral.
GUGCUCGCUUUGGCAGCUCAUCAACUAAAAUUGGAAAGAUCCAGAGAAGGUUAGCACGGUCCCUGCGCAAGGAUGCCGUGCAAAUUUGGGAAGUGUUCCAUACUUCU